CGGGCCGCUGCAGCAGUGAGGAAUAUUGCACAAUGGGGGGAACCCUGAUGCAGCAACGCCGCGUGGAGGAUGACGCAUUUCGGUGUGUAAACUCCUUUUAUAUGUCAAGAAAAUGACGGUAGCAUAUGAAUAAGCACCGGCUAACUCCGUGCCAGCAGCCGCGGUAAUACGGAGGGUGCAAGCGUUACUCGUAAUCACUGGGCGUAAAGGACGCGUAGGCGGGUUGGAAAGUCAGGUGUGAAAUCCUACAGCUUAACUGUAGAACUGCACUUGAAACUUCUAAUCUAGAGUAUGGGAGGGGGAGAUGGAAUUAGUGGUGUAGGGGUAAAAUCCGUAGAUAUCACUAGGAAUACCUAAAGCGAAGGCGAUCUCCUGGAACAUUACUGACGCUAAGGCGUGAAAGCGUGGGGAGCAAACAGGAUUAGAUACCCUUGUAGUC
Molecule: ribosomal RNA, 439 nt
Filed under: uncultured bacterium
Lineage: Bacteria
Description: partial 16S ribosomal RNA
Rfam family: Bacterial small subunit ribosomal RNA
Source: RNAcentral